UACAGGGGGGGCAAGCGUUGUUCGGAAUUACUGGGCGUAAAGGGCCCGUAGGCGGCCGAUUAAGUCCGACGUGAAAUCCCCAGGCUUAACCUGGGAACUGCGUCGGAUACUGAUUGGCUUGAAUUCGGGAGAGGGAUGCAGAAUUCCAGGUGUAGCGGUGAAAUGCGUAGAUAUCUGGAGGAAUACCGGUGGCGAAGGCGGCAUCCUGGACCGACAUUGACGCUGAACGGCGAAAGCUAGGGGAGCAAACGGG
Molecule: ribosomal RNA, 253 nt
Filed under: uncultured bacterium
Lineage: Bacteria
Description: partial 16S ribosomal RNA
Rfam family: Bacterial small subunit ribosomal RNA
Source: RNAcentral